AGAUUGAACGCUAGCGGGAUGCUUUACACAUGCAAGUCGAACGGCAGCGCGGACUUCGGUCUGGCGGCGAGUGGCGAACGGGUGAGUAAUAUAUCGGAACGUGCCCAGUAGCGGGGGGAUAACUACGCGAAAGCGUGGCUAAUACCGCAUACGCCCUACGGGGGAAAGGGAGGGAUUCUUCGGAACCUCUCACUAUUGGAGCGGCCGAUAUCAGAUUAGCUAGUUGGUGAGGUAAAGGCUCACCAAGGCGACGAUCUGUAGCUGGUUUGAGAGGACGACCAGCCACACUGGGACUGAGACACGGCCCAGACUCCUACGGGAGGCAGCAGUGGGGAAUUUGGACAAUGGGGGAAACCCUGAUCCAGCCAUCCCGCGUGUGCGAUGAAGGCCUUCGGGUUGUAAAGCACUUUUGGCAGGGAAGAAACGGCGUCCCGUUAAUACGGGCGUCACUGACCGGUACCGCCAGAAUAAGCACCGGCUAACUACGUGCCAGCACGCCGC
RNAcentral lists this ribosomal RNA (501 nucleotides) under uncultured soil bacterium. RNAcentral describes it as "bacterial SSU rRNA". It matches the Rfam family "Bacterial small subunit ribosomal RNA", at positions 26 to 518 of the family's 1533-position model. The record is from RNAcentral.